AACUUUUAGCAAUGGAUCACUUGGCUCUCGCAUCGAGGAAGAACGCAGCGAAAUGCGAUAAGUAAUGUGAAUUGCAGAAUUCAGUGAAUCAUCGAAUCUUUGAACGCACCUUGCGCUCCUUGGUAUUCCGAGGAGCAUGCCUGCUUGAGUGUCAUUAAUAUAUAAAUCAAUCUUCUCUUGAUGAGUGGUUUGGAUGUGGGGGUUUGCUGGCAGCCUCUUUGAGGAUUCAGCUCCCCUGAAAUGCAUUAGCAGAACAAACCCGUUCAUUGGUGUGAUAAACUAUCUACGCUAUUGAAUGUGAGGUGGCAGUUCAGCUUUCUAACGGUCUUUGGACAAAUUCAUCAUUAAUGUGACCUCAAAUCAGGUAGGACUACCCGCUGAACUUAAGCAUAUCAAUAAGCGGAGGCU
RNAcentral lists this unclassified non-coding RNA (408 nucleotides) under uncultured Cortinarius. RNAcentral describes it as "sequence contains ITS2". The stretch from base 1 to 154 matches the Rfam family "5.8S ribosomal RNA". Lineage: Eukaryota; Fungi; Basidiomycota; Agaricomycetes; Agaricales; Cortinariaceae. The record is from RNAcentral.